AGUGCAGCAGCCCAUAGGGUGAGGCCAUUUGCCUAUCUGGGUGAUGACCCUCGCUUCCAAAUACAGUGGUACCUCAGGUUAAGUACUUAAUUCGUUCCAGAGGUCUGUUCUUAACCUGAAACUGUUCUUAACCUGAAGCACCACUUUAGCUAAUGGGGCCUCCUGCUGCUGCCACGCCACCGGAGCACGAUUUCUGUUCUUAUCCUGAAGCAAAGUUCUUAACCUGAAGCACUAUUUCUGGGUUAGCGGAGUCUGUAACCUGAAGCGUAUGUAACCUGAAGUGUAUGUAACCCGAGGUACCACUGUAAAAAGAAGUCUGAGGCUGCUGUCCUAUAGCCAUGCACCUGGGAGUGGGCCCUAUGGAAUCCAAUGGAUCUUCCUUCCAAGUAGCCAGAUACAGAAGAGUAUGUGUAGGUCCCUGCAUUUGACAUUUCCCUCUAACUCUUACCUCAGACUUUCCUCCCUCUCCUCAGUCCUCUUGGGAUUAUAUAUAUUACAUACCAUCCAACAUUUCCACAUCAAAAACCUGGAUGCAGGUCUUCCGGAAUGUACUCCUGGGGUGAGUCACAUGACCUGUGCCAUGAUCUCGCCCCAAGCAUUUCUUAUUUCUUUUUCAAGGCAAGAUUACAACAAAAUGGCCGCCUUGAUCUCACGCAAUAAAAUGGGGUGUUGCUUUUUUUCUGGGACACUUGGGUUUGGUCUCAGCUAUAUCUCAGAUUCCUAAAGUUGGGUUGUUGGAGGCCAUGGAGAAUAGAAAGGAGGAGGAGGACGAAAAAGAGAAAUAUGGAAUGAUUAAAUAAAACAUCAGAGUUGUCCGAAACCAGUGUUGCUCAUUUUGGACCCUGUGACCCUUCUGUGCUGAUGAAGAUGUAGUCAUUCCAACUGCAUAUAAAUAAUAUUGUUUUAUUUUAAGGAUUCAUUUAUUCUAGUGAUUUUGUAUUUUGCCUUUCAAUAAAAUUCCAAUGAUGGCU
This is a long non-coding RNA of Podarcis raffonei (Aeolian wall lizard), 971 nucleotides long. RefSeq lists it as uncharacterized. Lineage: Eukaryota; Metazoa; Chordata; Lepidosauria; Squamata; Lacertidae. The record is from RefSeq and is a predicted model, not a curated record. The transcript is spliced from 2 exons.